ACCAAUUUUAGCUCUCACUAAUCCAAUGUAUACUCUCUCUCCCUCCAUGUAUGUAUGUGUGUGUGUGUAUAUAUAUAUAUAUACACACACACACACAUACAUACAUACAUGGAGGGAGAGAGAGUAUACAUUGGAUUAGUGAGAGCUAAAAUUGG
Pelobates cultripes (western spadefoot toad) is the source of this 155-nucleotide non-coding RNA. The record is from the annotation of a GenBank genome assembly. NCBI's taxonomy places the organism in Eukaryota, Metazoa, Chordata, Amphibia, Anura, Pelobatidae.